GGUCCCUGAGCGCGAGUUCCGAAGCUCCGAGAGUCCCCACCGCGACCUGGCCUCAUCCACUGGAGUUUCUCUUAGGCGCCUCCGGCCGCCAGGCGAGUGGUCGCUGCGACCACAAGCCCUUGGCAUCUUUCGCUAGCCCGCGGUGGGCGUUUGACGAGACUGAGAGGAUUGUCCCCUAGCCACACCGCAGUGACAUCAGUAAGGACUCACUGCAGGGGGCGGGGCCUGAACUCUGCUCCUGGCCCCUGGCGAUGAAGGACCUGAGUAGUAGUGUCUGACCCGAUGCGACUUUCACAGGUUAAGGGUGACAAGGCUUUCUAUUCUAGGAGGCCUAAAAGAGAGGGCUGUAACCCUGGCCUCCAGUGAGUUCGGAGGUGGGCGUGAUGGUGGCCCUGCCUAGGGGGUAGGGAGGGCGUUUUCUGCCCCCGCCCCCUUCUCCACCAACCCUCGGGUAGGAACCUGCCUACGUGCAUCUCCCAUCCCCGGAAUCACCGGAGACACUGGGACCCGGCCUCGGGCGCCGUCUCUCCGCGGCCGCUGAGUGUCGCUAAUGUCAAACCAGCGACCUGAGCCGGCCCAGUGCCCAGGAGGCGGGGAUCGUGGAGGCGCCCAGGGGGGCUUUGCUUGUCACAGCAGUCUGGGCUGCCCCUAGCCUUUCCUUGUUUUUCCGCCCCCCCCGGCCCCGCCUCCAGCCUCGGCCGGGGCCUAAAGGGUUCCACUGAGUUCGGGGGACCUGGUGCGCACACUUUUCUCCUUCCCAACCCACGCUGAUAUGGGGAUAAAAAGCCUUGUUGCAGCCUAGGGCUGGGAUUAUUUCGGAUUAAAGGGUGCUCGGAUGGGGGGAGAAGGGACGGGAGGGGUUCCGGCCAGCUGAGUGAGGGGCGCCUCUUCCCUGCCUUCCGGCGAGCUGGGGUCGGCGUGGGCCUCCCAGCGAAAAGGGAGAGGGGGAUUCCCCGGCCGGGAGGGGGGAUGGGCCACCCGGACAACAGCGCCCUCCAGGGGCUGCCCCUCCCCCAGCGCUCCAUUCAAGACGGAGAGUGGGCGGGCGGGGAUGGGGAGUCCCCCUCCCCCGGGCCCUCUCCUCCGUUUCCCCUCCCCUCCAGGCCCAGAGUCCGGCACUUUCAGUGGCUGUCACGGUCCGGGCACGCGCGUUCACGGACCUGCACCCGGCAAGUCUCACAAUCGCGCGCACACACAUUCAUUCACACACGCACGCGCACACACCAGCAAAUAAAGGGUCCGGACACCCUUGCGCCCCACCCCCGGCCGAAGAGGGUGGGGGACCCCCUCCCCACCCUCCCCUGCAAGCUUAUUUCAUGUGUGCGCCGCGAGCAGGUACCACAUAAUCAGGCUGUGUCCAGACUUCUCGGGGCUGCAGUAACCAAUCAGACCAGCAGGGGGUGCCAGCGCGUGGCUGGGGAGAGCGCCAAUCCGCGCAUAAACAAAACAAGCCUGGUGAUUGCAGACUGGAAAGCAAAAUGCUGUCGUCAGGCGUGAGACUAGUGGCGGGGCGUCCAGAGUACACGAAAUGUCCGGCGCUCGUCUACCUUCUUCUUUCACCUUGAGCUCAGGCCUAGGGCAGUGCGGGAGCACAGUAGGUGCUCAGUAAGUAUCCAGAGACUUGGAGAGGACAAAGUGGAUCUAGAGAAUCUGACAUCAGGGAAGAGGCUUACCGUAAAGCGGCCCAGGCCUGUCCCCUUUUAUGUGAGAGUUGAGUGAGUCCUCGAGUGUCGUCUCUCUAUAAAAGUGGAGAGGGCCGGCCAGGUGUGGAGGCGCACCCCUGUAAACACAGCCCUUGGGAGGCUGAGGCCGAAGGGUCUGCGUGAGUCUCAGCGUAACCUGGGCUACACAGCCAGAUCCCAUCUCAAAAACAAACAAGAUAAAACCCGGCCUGGAGUGGUGAUCCCAGCACACAGGAGGCUGAGGCAGGAGAGGAGCAUGAGUUUGAGGCCAGCCUGCACUGCAUAGCAAGAUCUUAUCUCGAGAAAAAGAAGAAAGAAGAGCAGAAAGAAAGAGGGACUCAAGGUGCGCAGCCGGGGCCUUGCCCAUGUGCAGACGGUACAUUCAGCAAGUAUCCAGAGCGUACUGUGCACCAGGCCUGAGGCCGGCAGGGGCAAAGCAAAGCUCCCCCCGCCCCGCCCCGAUACAGCCAAUAUGUGAUGCCAGAGACAGAAGAAACAACAUGAGCAAAUUAACAUGUAUCUGUAUCUGUAUAUAUCAGCCACUUUUAGUGAAGGGCCUGCAUGCUUAGCAAGUGUGGGACACUCCUCAGCACACACACUCAAAAAAAGAAAAAAAUUAAACCGAGAAUGGUGGCUCAUACCUGUAAACUCAACACUCAGGAGGCUGAGGCAGGAGGAUCACUGCUUGUUCCAGGCCAGCGGGCUACAGUGAGCUCAAGGCCAGCCAGAACUGCAUAGUGAGACCCUGUCUCAAAAAGACAAAAACAAAAAACAAAACAAAGACCCUGUGGUUAAACAACUGUCAGCUCAUGCCUGUAAUCCCUGCACUCAGGAGGCUGAGACAGGAGGAUAGAAAGUUUGAGCUCAGCUAGACACUUUAGUCAUAAAGUUAUUCUUGCAGCUCUGAUCAGAUCUCAGCAAUGCCCCAUUUAGAAUCGAUCACAAGAAGUUCCACCUUCCAGCCAUGUGGGAAGCCUCAUCCCUGUGCGUGCGUGUGUGCCUGCAUAUGCCCAUGUGUGUACCCCAGGACUCCCCCGACCCAGGCCUGCCUGGGCUCUGGGCCUGGAGCUCCCCCUUUCUGAGCCUCCUCUGCCUCCCUGCCCCCUGUACCCGGCUCCUGAGGCCCCGUCUUCCAAGCCUGCGUUUCCACCUGGGUUGGUUUCCGCAAAGGUACACAUUUGCACGCGGGUGGGUGUGGGUCUCUUCCCUAGCCUCGGGGUCUUGAGCUGUCCACUCCUUUAUUCCCUAAUCUUGGAACACCUGCCAUCAUUAUCCCAACUACCUGGGACUCACAACAGCAUUUAUAGGAGCGGAGGGUUGGCAGUGCACACCUGUCAUCCCACCACGCAGGAAGCUGAGGCAGGAGGAUCGCUGCAAAUUCAAGGCCAGCCUGGGCUACAUAGCAAGACUCUUAUCUCAAGAAACCAAGCCAGCCUGAUGUGCUUGUGCACAGCUCUAACCCCAGCACUGGAGAAGCUGGGGCGGAGGGCCGACAGGAGGCCAGCCUGCACUGCCAAGCUAGACCGGCUCAGAAAGAAAAAGAAAGCAAACUAAACAAGCCAAGCACACCCAGGGCAAAUGCAAACAAAUGCAAAGUCACAGUUUCUGUUCAAAAUGGUCAAACAAUGGUAGGGCGAGGCUGGGUGCCUGGUGGCACAGGUCUGUAACCUCAGCCCCUGGGAGGCUGGAGAAGGGGCUGAAGGUGACGGGGUUGGGGGCAGUUUCUGUCUCAGGGAAGGGGUGACUUUGGGCAGAGGCCAAAUAAAGGGAAAUCAAUCGCACAAA
Long non-coding RNA from Cavia porcellus (domestic guinea pig), 3467 nucleotides. RefSeq lists it as uncharacterized. The record is from RefSeq and is a predicted model, not a curated record. The transcript is spliced from 2 exons. Lineage: Eukaryota; Metazoa; Chordata; Mammalia; Rodentia; Caviidae.